This 248-nucleotide long non-coding RNA is filed under the name Spirodela polyrhiza (greater duckweed). RNAcentral's name for it is "long non-coding RNA (SPOL_LNC001398)". Lineage: Eukaryota; Viridiplantae; Streptophyta; Magnoliopsida; Alismatales; Araceae. The record is from RNAcentral.
CCUCGUCGCCGUCCUCCAUGUUGAAGAUGGGGACGGUGGACUCGGUCCUCUUGAGGGCCCUCUUCUUGUCAAUGUACUUCUUGUUGGCCUUCUUCUUCCUCGAGCCGCAGCAGCUCUUGACGAUGAUGUUCGGCUCCAGGUCGGCCUCCGUCAGGACGGGAUCGUAGCCGUAGAGGGCCUGUCUGUUGAAGCAGCAACCCGUGCCCACGUACACGGGGCCCUGGACCCCGUCCAAGCCCUUCAAGUUG